AGCGUGUAACCCGUAGCAGCUCGGGCACAUUGCCCCCUUUUUUUGUUGCAUGCGCUACGGGGACACGGCCAGCAUUGAAUGGACGGCGUCACGAGAGGGCACACGGCCAGAGAAAUAAAUGAAGGCGCUGGGCACGAAAAAAAAAAGACGCUAAAAACAGAGAGGGAGAGGAUACAAAUUUGGCGGGAAAAAGAGUCGAGAUGACAUAUAGACAGCAAGUCCUCGCAUCUACGGGUUAGAUGCUUUCCCGAAAAGCGCCGCGUCAGGGCAAAAAACGCGUUCAAGCCGAGACAUUUUCCUCAGAAACAAUGCAGAUGAUCAAACUUGGGCGAGACACGAUGUACCGCUACUACGCACGCGCAGCGAGAUGGAGGGAACAAAUAACUUAAGUGUGUCUACAAACGUGUCAUCCACGGGGAAAGUUGGAGCAAAGUAAAGCUAGCGUCAGCGACCUUCAGCAUCUCAUGGACAGAAAGCAAAUUUGAAGCAACAACAGCGGAUAAGUUGUGACACACCAACGAUCCGGGACAAGGCUGUGCUGGUGACGGGAUGCGACUCCGGCUUUGGACUGUCACUCGCGCAGCACCUGCACUCGAAGGGCUUCAAAAUCUUCGCCGGAUGCCUCCUGAAGAUGCUCAUCAUCUUUGGUGUGGUACGACUGAGAAGCGGGUUUGGAAUCGCGAUGUGACAUGUGUGGAGGCGUCGGUUUGCACUGCUGUCAGUUUUGCAAGGAAGGCUGAUGGAACCGCCUCGAUUUCACGUCGACAACAACACAAACAAAGACAGAUGUCCCCCGUAUAGCCUACACAACAUUUUUGGGCAAGUGCAGUUAGCGAGCACCUAAUGAAGGCAGGCACUUUGGUACACGAGGGAGUGGGUGGCCAG
Molecule: non-coding RNA, 885 nt
Organism: Petromyzon marinus (sea lamprey)
Lineage: Eukaryota; Metazoa; Chordata; Hyperoartia; Petromyzontiformes; Petromyzontidae
Source: RefSeq, a predicted model, not a curated record